Molecule: ribosomal RNA, 497 nt
Filed under: uncultured bacterium
Lineage: Bacteria
Description: partial 16S ribosomal RNA
Rfam family: Bacterial small subunit ribosomal RNA
Source: RNAcentral
GAUGAACGCUGGCGGCGUGCCUAAUACAUGCAAGUCGAGCGAACAGACGAGGAUCUUGCUCCUCUGACGUUAGCGGCGGACGGGUGAGUAACACGUGGAUAACCUACCUAUAAGACUGGGAUAACUUCGGGAAACCGUAGCUAAUACCGGAUAAUAUAUUGAACCGCAUGGUUCAAUAGUGAAACACGGUUUUGCUGUCACUUAUAGAUGGAUCCGCGCCGCAUUAGCUAGUUGGUAAGGUAACGGCUUACCAAGGCAACGAUGCGUAGCCGACCUGAGAGGGUGAUCGGCCACACUGGAACUGAGACACGGUCCAGACUCCUACGGGAGGCAGCAGUAGGGAAUCUUCCGAACUGGGCGAAAGCCUGACGGAGCAACGCCGCGUGAGUGAUGAAGGUCUUCGGAUCGUAAAACUCUGUUAUUAGGGAAGAACGAAUGUGUAAGUAACUAUGCACGUCUUGACGGUACCUAAUCAGAAAGCCACGGCUAACUACGUG